RNAcentral lists this small RNA (127 nucleotides) under Alkalihalobacillus alcalophilus. RNAcentral describes it as "Ribosomal protein L10 leader". It matches the Rfam family "Ribosomal protein L10 leader". Rfam says of the family: This family is a putative r-protein leader autoregulatory structure found in B. subtilis and other low-GC Gram-positive bacteria. It is located in the 5' untranslated regions of mRNAs encoding ribosomal proteins L10 and L12 (rplJ-rplL). Lineage: Bacteria; Bacillati; Bacillota; Bacilli; Caryophanales; Bacillaceae. The record is from RNAcentral.
AAUUUAAACAUUCAUACCGUAGACAGUAGGGGCGUUCACGCUUAAUCAUCCUACCGAGGUAAGCGAUAUAGAUUCUUAAUAAAAGAGUCCAUAAUGCCCUCAUGUCUAUACAUGGGGGCUUUUUAUA